Molecule: ribosomal RNA, 439 nt
Filed under: uncultured bacterium
Lineage: Bacteria
Description: bacterial SSU rRNA
Rfam family: Bacterial small subunit ribosomal RNA
Source: RNAcentral
UACGGGAGCAGCAGUGGGGAAUAUUGCACAAUGGGCGCAAGCCUGAUGCAGCCAUGCCGCGUGUAUGAAGAAGGCCUUCGGGUUGUAAAGUACUUUCAGUCGUGAGGAAGGUGUUAAGGUUAAUAACCUUAGCAAUUGACGUUAGCGACAGAAGAAGCACCGGCUAACUCCGUGCCAGCAGCCGCGGUAAUACGGAGGGUGCGAGCGUUAAUCGGAAUUACUGGGCGUAAAGGGCACGCAGGCGGUUAAUUAAGUUGGAUGUGAAAUCCCCGGGCUUAACCUGGGAAUGGCAUUCAAGACUGGUUAGCUAGAGUCUUGUAGAGGGGGUAGAAUUCCAUGUGUAGCGGUGAAAUGCGUAGAGAUGUGGAGGAAUACCGGUGGCGAAAGGCGGCCCCUGGACAAAGACUGACGCUCAUGUGCGAAAGCGUGGGGAGCAAAC